CUUCACGGAGCCCAGCCACAGCGGCCGAUCCGCCGGCCGGUCCUGGCCGUAGGUGGCCAGCAAAGCCUGCGCCUC
This 75-nucleotide antisense RNA is filed under the name Streptomyces oceani. Its description in RNAcentral is "Streptomyces sp. SCSIO 02100 ASpks TB sRNA". It matches the Rfam family "ASpks TB sRNA". The record is from Rfam by way of RNAcentral. Lineage: Bacteria; Bacillati; Actinomycetota; Actinomycetes; Kitasatosporales; Streptomycetaceae.